This 339-nucleotide long non-coding RNA is filed under the name Trifolium pratense (red clover). RNAcentral's name for it is "long non-coding RNA (TPRA_LNC000371)". Lineage: Eukaryota; Viridiplantae; Streptophyta; Magnoliopsida; Fabales; Fabaceae. The record is from RNAcentral.
UAAAAGGUAAAAAAAACAAAAAAUAAUAUAUUUUUUAAAAUAAUUAAACAAUAUAUAUUUUUUAUUUGUGUCCAAAUACUUCGUUACCAAGCAAAACUCUUCCAUGAUCUAUCUAUCAUCUAUCCUUGGAUGCUCUGACCAACUGUCUUACUGGAGUACAAAAUGCAAAGUUAAUAACUUAAUAUAUCCAAGAUAUCUUUAUGACUCUGUCUGGGGUUGUCUCCUCUCAUUUUUUUAAUACCUGUGUUUAUUUCUUUUAAUUCAAUUUUGAUGCCAAUAUUUUACUUUCUUUUGACAUUAAAAUAAAUAUUUGUGAUGCAUUGAGAAGCUCAGAAGCAC